Molecule: ribosomal RNA, 253 nt
Filed under: uncultured bacterium
Lineage: Bacteria
Description: partial 16S ribosomal RNA
Rfam family: Bacterial small subunit ribosomal RNA
Source: RNAcentral
UACGGAGGAGGCAAGCGUUAUCCGGAAUUAUUGGGCGUAAAGCGUCCGCAGGUGGCUAUUCAAGUCUGCGGUCAAAGACUGGGGCUUAACCCUGGAAAGGCCGUGGAAACUGAAGAGCUAGAGUGCAGUAGGGGUAGAGGGAAUUCCCGGUGUAGCGGUGAAAUGCGUAGAGCUCGGGAAGAACAUCGGUGGCGAAAGCGCUCUGCUGGACUUCAACUGACACUCAGGGACGAAAGCUAGGGGAGCGAAUGGG